Long non-coding RNA from Felis catus (domestic cat), 1586 nucleotides. RefSeq lists it as uncharacterized. The transcript has 4 exons. The record is from RefSeq and is a predicted model, not a curated record. NCBI's taxonomy places the organism in Eukaryota, Metazoa, Chordata, Mammalia, Carnivora, Felidae.
UCUCCAGACCUGCACUUUGGAGUCUGAGCUGACAUGUAAGAAGUCCAACUACCCUGAAACUGCCCUACUGGAGAGACCAGAUAGAGAGACACAUGGAGAGAGAGGUUAGAGGAGCCCUCAGAUCUUGAAUCUUCCCAGCAUCGACAAGCAAGCCUGUGAGUGGGUGAGCUAUAUUAGUGGACAUUUAUACUUUGGGAAACGGAUCCAGGAGAAAGAAGACUGAUGUGUUGAAAGAAGGUACUUCUAUGUAUGUUCCAUGGAGUCAAGGACAUUGGUUACUGCUGGAUCCCCAACUCUUACAACAGUGUCUGGCACACAGCAGGAGAAAUCAUUUUAAAACAGUAAGAACGAGAACCAGAAAUAUAAACUCCACUUUUGAUGAAAUUAAGAGCCAUCUAUAACCCAUAUCAUAAUCAUGCAAGUAGAAGAAGAGAAAUGAUGAGGCAGAGGAGAAACAUGAGUACCUAAAGAAAGAGUACCAAUGAGAAGCAAGAUAUUGCUAAGCAGAACUCCUAAGCCACUCAGAAACUGGAGGCACCCAGAAACACAGAAGAGAGAAUAAGGUGUGGGGCUAAAACAGAAAGAUUGGUUGAAAGCCAAUGGAAACCUUUAAACCUACGGUGAUCCCUUCCUCAGGCAAGCGAACAGGUGACAGCACUUUCCCCAUCUCCAAGAAGUUUAGUCUCUGGAGAAAGUGAACCAGAGAGACUCCAAAUCCCAGGCACCACCAGGAAGGAGUGGAUGAAAUGCAGACCCCAAACCAGGAGCUAAAACAAAGUCUGCACGUUGAACCAUAGUGAGAACCUUGGCCCCUUUUGCUUGAAUGGCUACCAGAAUGCUUACUACCUGAUUUAUAACCCCAGGCAGGGGGGUGAUGGCUUGACCAAGUGUCUAACUUGGGAUAUUAAAGGUAAGGGUGGGGAGCACGAGCUCUUCAAUAGAAAUGUCAUUUGCGAGAAAGACAAGAGUCUGUACAACUUCCCCCAUGAAGCUUCAGGUGCAGCAGGAGGAGCCGCUUUCCUUGCAUGAUGAGAAGUUACUAGAAGUGAGAGCCUCCACUGACUGGUGGCUUCAGAGCUAUCUCAACUCCAUUGAGCAAACUUCUAGAGGAGUGGGUUUAUCCUCUGGGACAACUGUCAACACAGACAAAACUGGCCUUUACAGGAAAAAAUGACUUCUUAAAAGUUCCUGUAUCAAUAAAGGAAAAUGAGGCUCACUUUGAUCAUAGGAUAAAGUACUGAAAGCCUCAAAGCCCCUCCAUGGUUUGACCCUGCAGCCCACCUCAUUCCAGGGACCCUCACAGACUCCAACACUAGCCAGGUGGAGAUCCUCUUAGCAACCCCCACAUGCCAAGCUCUCCCCUGCCUCCCAGCUUUCAUCAGCUCUUCUCUGUCCCUGCAACCCUCUCUCUACCCCCAGCUCCUACUUGCUCCAAAUGGUCCAGAAGCAAAGAUGCACUGCUUCCUCCAUGAUAAGAUGUAGAGAAAGUUUAGGCAAUGGUUCUUAGAAAACAGAACUUUGCGCGUCUAACUUCUGCACAUCUUUCAGGUCUCACCCACUGAGAAGCUUUCACUGUCCUCUCUCCC